CAGUCGCCGCGGUAAUACGUAGGGUGCGAGCGUUAAUCGGAAUUACUGGGCGUAAAGCGUGCGCAGGCGGUUAUAUAAGACAGAUGUGGAAUCCCCGGGCUCAACCUGGGACCUGCAUUUGUGACUGUAUAGCUAGAGUACGGUAGAGGGGGAUGGAAUUCCGCGUGUAGCAGUGAAAUGCGUAGAUAUGCGGAGGAACACCGAUGGCGAAGGCAAUCCCUUGGACCUGUACUGACGCUCAUGCACGAAAGCGUGGGGAGCAAACAGGAUUAGAUACCCGUGUAGUCCCUGUCUCUUAUAC
This 301-nucleotide ribosomal RNA is filed under the name uncultured bacterium. Its description in RNAcentral is "partial 16S ribosomal RNA". It matches the Rfam family "Bacterial small subunit ribosomal RNA", at positions 509 to 807 of the family's 1533-position model. The record is from RNAcentral.